Molecule: long non-coding RNA, 544 nt
Organism: Grus americana (Whooping crane)
Lineage: Eukaryota; Metazoa; Chordata; Aves; Gruiformes; Gruidae
Exons: 3
Source: RefSeq, a predicted model, not a curated record
CCGGGGGCGGGAGGGGCUCAGUCAGGCGGUGGCGCGCAUGCGCGCGAGGGGUGCGGGUUUGUCAGGCGGUGGUGCGUUGUAUGGGGACCUCGGCUUGGGAGCUGUGCUUCUAGCAAGCAGAUUGCUCUGCGUUCCGAUCUGCAGCUCCUGUUCCUGAGGCAGAAGCGAGGUAUUCCAGCAUGGGGCAGUGCUCUGCAGUAACCGCCCUGUCCGGCCGCCUGCCCACAACAGUGACCCAAGCUGAGUGAUAAUGUUGGAACAAGCCAGAUCUCAGCGAUAUUGAGCUAGAACAACAGCUCAGCCCUAUGAAGAGGACUGGCGUUGCAUGCGCGUGCAACAGGGAACAAGUGCAACAAUCCAAGACCGGAAUGUGUGUACAGGGAAGAAAUGAGACAGAGCAUGAAAAACAAGACCUUUGACGCAGUGCUUUUCAUACACAAAAGAAGAACUGAAACAGUGAAGGCCAAGUACCUCAUAAGUCUGUGGACAGUCUUUUGGAAUUGCCAGAUAGCUUUCAGAGUGACGCGCCAAGAUUGAACGCCUC